RNAcentral lists this ribosomal RNA (1365 nucleotides) under uncultured beta proteobacterium. RNAcentral's name for it is "16S ribosomal RNA". It matches the Rfam family "Bacterial small subunit ribosomal RNA", at positions 30 to 1394 of the family's 1533-position model. The record is from RNAcentral. Lineage: Bacteria; Pseudomonadati; Pseudomonadota; Betaproteobacteria.
UGAACGCUGGCGGCAUGCCUUACACAUGCAAGUCGAACGGCAGCACGGGUGCUUGCACCUGGUGGCGAGUGGCGAACGGGUGAGUAAUACAUCGGAACAUGUCCUGUAGUGGGGGAUAGCCCGGCGAAAGCCGGAUUAAUACCGCAUACGAUCUACGGAUGAAAGCGGGGGACCUUCGGGCCUCGCGCUAUAGGGUUGGCCGAUGGCUGAUUAGCUAGUUGGUGGGGUAAAGGCCUACCAAGGCGACGAUCAGUAGCUGGUCUGAGAGGACGACCAGCCACACUGGGACUGAGACACGGCCCAGACUCCUACGGGAGGCAGCAGUGGGGAAUUUUGGACAAUGGGCGAAAGCCUGAUCCAGCAAUGCCGCGUGUGUGAAGAAGGCCUUCGGGUUGUAAAGCACUUUUGUCCGGAAAGAAAUCCUUGGCUCUAAUACAGUCGGGGGAUGACGGUACCGGAAGAAUAAGCACCGGCUAACUACGUGCCAGCAGCCGCGGUAAUACGUAGGGUGCGAGCGUUAAUCGGAAUUACUGGGCGUAAAGCGUGCGCAGGCGGUUUGCUAAGACCGAUGUGAAAUCCCCGGGCUCAACCUGGGAACUGCAUUGGUGACUGGCAGGCUAGAGUAUGGCAGAGGGGGGUAGAAUUCCACGUGUAGCAGUGAAAUGCGUAGAGAUGUGGAGGAAUACCGAUGGCGAAGGCAGCCCCCUGGGCCAAUACUGACGCUCAUGCACGAAAGCGUGGGGAGCAAACAGGAUUAGAUACCCUGGUAGUCCACGCCCUAAACGAUGUCAACUAGUUGUUGGGGAUUCAUUUCCUUAGUAACGUAGCUAACGCGUGAAGUUGACCGCCUGGGGAGUACGGUCGCAAGAUUAAAACUCAAAGGAAUUGACGGGGACCCGCACAAGCGGUGGAUGAUGUGGAUUAAUUCGAUGCAACGCGAAAAACCUUACCUACCCUUGACAUGGUCGGAAUCCCGCUGAGAGGUGGGAGUGCUCGAAAGAGAACCGGCGCACAGGUGCUGCAUGGCUGUCGUCAGCUCGUGUCGUGAGAUGUUGGGUCAACUCCCGCAACGAGCGCAACCCUUGUCCUUAGUUGCUACGCAAGAGCACUCUAAGGAGACUGCCGGUGACAAACCGGAGGAAGGUGGGGAUGACGUCAAGUCCUCAUGGCCCUUAUGGGUAGGGCUUCACACGUCAUACAAUGGUCGGAACAGAGGGUUGCCAACCCGCGAGGGGGAGCUAAUCCCAGAAAACCGAUCGUAGUCCGGAUUGCACUCUGCAACUCGAGUGCAUGAAGCUGGAAUCGCUAGUAAUCGCGGAUCAGCAUGUCGCGGUGAAUACGUUCCCGGGUCUUGUACACACCGCC